UUAAACUCAAAAUUUAAUCAUUUUAAAAAUCUAAUCUCAAAUUUAAAAUCAAAACUAUAAACACUAAAUUUUAAAUCUGCACCAUAAAUCUAAUACCCUAAAUCUAUAAUUUAAACCCUACAUAUAAAGUCAAAAAUCUAUAAGAUACACAUAUUACUCCAAACCAUAUACUCCAUAUUUAAUUAAUAAUAUAACUUCAAUCUUUUCAUAAUAUAAUUUCAAUCUUUAAUUUAAACUCAAAGUUUAAUUAUUUUUAAAAAUCUUAUAUCAAAUUUAAAAUCUAAAUCUUAAAGCUACACCCUAAAUAUAAUGCCCUAAACCCCAAAUUCAAACCCUACAUACAAAAUCAUAAAUAUAAUUACUACAAAUAAUAUAAUUACUAAACUAAAACCUAUUCCUUAUAUAAACAAUAACUUUAUUAAUUUUAUUAUUAAAUAUUUAUCUUAACCACAAUUAUAUUUCACAAACCUCAAACCAUAUACUUUAAACUUAGGGCAACUACAACUAUAUAAACUAAUUAUAGUCAACAAUAGUAGUAUUAAUUAACAGAUUUUAAAAAUUAAAAUUUAAAAUAUUGAUUAUAAAAUCUUAAUACUUAUAUCAAACAUCAAUUUUUUUUAAAUUACAAACCAAAGUCAUCAAAAUAUUGAAAAUACAAAAGAUAAUAAAUAAAUAAAAAGGAAAAAAGAAAAAUCUAUUGGGUAACUAUUUAAAAAAAGAAAACUAUAGACCAAUAACUUCUCAUCACGCGGAUCACCUUUUGAACCGUAGGAUUCAAUUAAAUCAGUGGAUGAUAUUUUUUUUUUUCUUUUCUUCUUUUCUUUUUUUCUCUUUUUCUCUCACAGAUCUCUCUUUCUCUUCUCGGCCUCUGAUUCUUCCCUUCUCAUUUUUUUUUCUUCUCUUUCUCUCUCACAGAUCUCUCACUUUCUCUUCUCGACCUCUGAUUCUUCUCUUUCACUCUCUGUCUCUAUCUCUCAUCUUCUCACCAUCAACAUAUACGAAUCUGUCUUAACCCAUCAGCUCAAACGAAAUCUGUCUCCUCUAUUUCCGAAUUUGUGAAACAUGAGAUUUUAACAAGGAGACAGAAGAUUUGGCAGAGGAGUAGGAGACGCGACGAGCAGAUCGAACGGUGGCUCUAGCACCAGAUUGAAUCCUUGCUUCAGCAAUAGCUUCUAGAGCCAUUUGAGGCGUCGGUGUAGAAGAAGUGGUGUGUGACUGAAAGAUGGUGACGUUGGAGCGUUGUGGUGAUGGAGACGACGGAGGCGCAACUGAUAUGCUGCGGUUUAUGUUUAGGUUUUGUUAAUUAGGUUUUGGUUAAUUAGGUUUGGUAUAAUGUGUUUUAAUUAAUUUUUGGUUUAAUGUGUUCUGGUGUAUUUGAUUUUUUAAUUCUGGUUUAGUGUUACAUUUAUUUGUAAUCUAAGCUUAAUUAAUAAAUAAAUUUUUUUAUUUUUAA
Long non-coding RNA from Brassica napus (rape), 1453 nucleotides. RefSeq lists it as uncharacterized. The record is from RefSeq and is a predicted model, not a curated record. The transcript is spliced from 2 exons. Lineage: Eukaryota; Viridiplantae; Streptophyta; Magnoliopsida; Brassicales; Brassicaceae.